UACAGAGGUGGCAAGCGUUGUUCGGAAUUACUGGGCGUAAAGGGCGCGUAGGCGGCUCGACAAGUCCCGCGUGAAAUCCCCCGGCUCAACUGGGGAAUUGCGCGGGAAACUGUCGGACUUGAGUUCGGGAGAGGGAAGCGGAAUUCCGGGUGUAGCGGUGAAAUGCGUAGAUAUCCGGAGGAACACCGGUGGCGAAGGCGGCUUCCUGGACCGACACUGACGCUGAGGCGCGAAAGCUAGGGGAGCAAACGGG
RNAcentral lists this ribosomal RNA (253 nucleotides) under uncultured bacterium. RNAcentral describes it as "partial 16S ribosomal RNA". It matches the Rfam family "Bacterial small subunit ribosomal RNA", at positions 524 to 776 of the family's 1533-position model. The record is from RNAcentral.